UCUUAGGUAGCUUAAAUUACAAAGCAUAACUUUGAAGCUGUUAUUAUGGGUCCCCCUCCCCCUAAGUU
Molecule: transfer RNA, 68 nt
Filed under: Franciscoloa funerei
Lineage: Eukaryota; Metazoa; Arthropoda; Insecta; Psocodea; Menoponidae
Description: tRNA-Phe
Source: RNAcentral